Molecule: ribosomal RNA, 254 nt
Filed under: uncultured bacterium
Lineage: Bacteria
Description: partial 16S ribosomal RNA
Rfam family: Bacterial small subunit ribosomal RNA
Source: RNAcentral
UACGGAGGGGGCAAGCGUUAUUCGGAUUUAUUGGGCGUAAAGCGCGCGCAGGCGGUUCAGCAAGUCUGAUGUGAAAUCUCCACAGCUCACCUGGGAGACGCCAUUGGAAACUGCUGAACUUGAGGUCCGGAGAGGUCGGCGGAAUUCCCGGUGUAGCGGUGGAAUGCGUAGAUAUCGGGAAGAACACCAGUGGCGAAGGCGGCCGGCUGGACGGCACCUGACGCUGAGGCGCGAAGGCCAGGGGAGCAAACGGG